This is a long non-coding RNA of Cucurbita maxima (winter squash), 637 nucleotides long. RefSeq lists it as uncharacterized. The transcript is spliced from 3 exons. The record is from RefSeq and is a predicted model, not a curated record. NCBI's taxonomy places the organism in Eukaryota, Viridiplantae, Streptophyta, Magnoliopsida, Cucurbitales, Cucurbitaceae.
UGUUACUCUCUUCUUCCAUUCCAUUAAGUUUUUGUGAUUCCAGUUAUGAGUUUAGCUUGAAUCGAUUGGAUGAACAGGAACUAGUUCGAAGCACCGGGGAAAUUUCCGAUCGAGAUCGAACUAGUUUCUUUGGAAGAUUCUUUUCGGUGAAGGCUAAAUCGGCGGACGUUCUUAUAUCUUCCUCAACACGCUCCUAUGGUGCUUAUUGCUUGUGAAGUGCUACGCAGUUCUCGUUUUUGUGUAGCAAAGGAAAAUUGCAAUCAACAUAAGGUACGAUCAAGAUCAAAAGAUUUGUACAUUGGUGUGGUGCUAAAUUACUGACACUCAUAAGUUCAAUUUGAUAUCGAAGGUGUGAAUAAAGAUUUUUUUGGGUAAUGUAACAGAGGAUGAGACUCUGUGAUCCUUCGAAGAUAUCUCUAAAAUUUUGAAAUUCUUUAGGUAUGAGCUUAUUAGGGGAGAAGAAGGGGCAUACGAUCGCCAACCAUGACCAUUAGCUUCAACCAACUUAUAAGGGUUGGCUAGGCAUAGUUGACUCACGUAGGUUAGCUCACUACCUAAGGAUGAUUGGCUUGUGUGACUUUUACUAUGAAUCACGAACCUCUACAAUUGUAUGAUAUUAUCUCCUUUGAAUAUAUAA